Long non-coding RNA from Mauremys reevesii (Reeves's turtle), 2764 nucleotides. RefSeq lists it as uncharacterized. Lineage: Eukaryota; Metazoa; Chordata; Testudines; Geoemydidae. The record is from RefSeq and is a predicted model, not a curated record. The transcript has 5 exons.
UUCUCUCCAACCCCAGAUCCUGCUGCAAAGGGACAUCCAAGGACCCUCACAGAGCAUGGCCCCAAGCAUUGCAAGGCCACAAAUCCUGCCCCUUGCCCCCUGCACUCAGUGCUGCAUUGGAUCCAGUGCAUCUGGGGUCCUCUGUGGCUAAAGGGGUAGGAUUUGUCCACAAAAAUAGGCAAAUCUCCAUUAGCAGUAUAAAGCUAUGACACAUCAUUUAACAGUUCUGAUUCCAUCCACUUGAGAGCUCUUGUCACUAUCUUCCCAGGGAUGCCAAGUCACUUAAUCAGAUACGACAAACUUGCUUGAUGCACUGAAUCAGAGGCCUGAUGGAAGUCUAUAUAAAGUACUGCUCAUGGCUUAUGAAAUGCAGCCAUCUUCUCAAAAAACUGUCUCAAGGAAUUACAAAAGCGGGUAAGCAAUGACUGCUCCUUAUACCCUGUUCAGAUGCUGUUGCUGAGACCAGGACUCAAUAGAUGACAAUGACCCACUGGACCACGAUCACCACUGGAACAGCUACCGCAGCAGAGAAUGGCGAUGAACGAUGAUGAAGAAUCAGCUUCAACCAUUGUAUCUGUCUCUUCACUGAUCUGUGGGUGACAUUGGAAGGUCAAAGGCCCCAGAGUGAGCUGGCAGCAAUCAGCCCUGAUGACUUGAAACACCAUUCCUCAUCAGAUGACGGAGGGAGUAAGAUUUCAGUCUCUAAAGCUUUGAUGGCCCUAAGGAGUUCAGAACAGAAAGCCAUUUGAUAGCUUGGUUGUAAGAAGAGCUUUUGGUUGAAUCAGACUAAUUUCAGCCCACUAACUUCUUUUUUUUCAAAGUAGGAGGCACAUUUUUGUAUCUGCGCGCCCAUACAUCAGUGACUGUUGAUCACCAGUGAUUGUUAACGAGGACAUGAUCAAUAACAGUCCUAGUGAAACCAACUGGGCUGUACCUGCUCUGUUUGUGAAUCUUGGGUGACGGAAGAAUGAAUCAGCAAUCACCAUGUUAUUGGCAGCUGCAAAUUCUAUCAGUUGUUGCCCAUUUCUGUUCUUCUGCUGGAUACCAAACUUCCUGAGAGUACUUGCACAGGUCGCUAUACUUUCCUACUUGUGCAUUAAAGUUGCCCAGGGUCAUGAUGACAUCUCUUCUCAGAGUUUCAUUAUGGAUUGAUUGCAGUUGUUGGUAAAAAAUAUCUGCAGCUACAUUAUAGGCCUUGGUUGAACCAUACAUGGCAAUGAUGGUAAGAUGUCCGCAGCUAUUAUGGAAUCGGAUGCUGAAAAGUCACUUCUUAAUCACCUCCAUUCCCUGCACUGCCUGUUGGGCAAUGAGUGAAAGUACAAUGGCCAUUCCUUGCUGGAAAACCUGUCGGGAUGGCCUGAGAACAAAAACGUAUAAUCCUCAACUUUCUUUUCACCACUCCUGGCCAGUGUAGUUUAGAUAAAAUACAGAUAUCAAUGUUCAGACUUUUCAAUUGCUUGAUUUAACUGUUUCAGAAUGUGUUUUGAUGUACCAGGCACCAAUUUUACAUUUACCACCAACAUGCAGGAUCCUGGAAUAGCCCUUUUGCAAGGUUUCUUUGGUCAUUUUUGCAUACAUGGCAGGUUGAUUCAGAACAAUUGACCAGAUUGUUGCAGGUGGUUGGCUUUGGUGUUAAACACUCUCAACAAACUGGGGUCUCUCAUAGUCAAAUUUUGUUUAAUUUACCUUUCAUUUGUUUUUAUUAGCAAAUUCUGUUAUUCCUCUAGUUUGGAAUAACUGAACUCCUGUAGAAAGCAACAUCCUUGUUAAUUUGCCCAUUACCAUCUGUGAAGGUGAUGCCAUUCCUUCUCCUGGUAUAUUCUUAAAUCCAGUGCAACUAGAAACGGAUCCUUAUUGUUAUGGUUGGCUGACUUCAAGAGACUUUUCACUGUCUGUCUGAAUAGCUCUCUCAGCCAUCCUGUUGCUCUGAGGAUAUUUUGGUGAUAAUGUGAUAAUCUCAGAUCUUAGUGAAUUCUUUAAAUAAUGUAUUUGACUAUUGGGGUCCAUUAUCAGCCAUCAGAACCUGUAGUAUUUCAUGCCUUGCAAACUGUGAUUUUUAGUAUAGGUGAUCUCCAUUCUACUGCUUGUGUUUGUGUUGUAUCAACCAGGCAAGGUACUAACAAACUUCAACAGGACUUUAUUUUUAAUGUGGAAACCUCUUUACCAAGCUGCUGCUGCACCCUCUGUAACUCUCACUCUGCCUCCAACUCCUCCCCCCUCCUUCCUGUUUCCUGUCCUUUCAGACUCCCAACAGCCAGUGCUCCCAGUUCUAAUAAUCAUAAGCAACAUCUAAACACCACAGUUUUAGUUUUGAAAGCUUCAUGCAUUUAGAGCAGUAAUCAAAGAACAGUAAACAGAUUUCUUUGUCAGAUUCAAAUUAGUCCAUUUUUUUAGUCUGUGUUUACAUUGUGGCCAAAGUUACCUACCUGUUGGGAAGGAUAUUUGAUACUAGUUUGUCUUCUGAUUACUCAUCUGCAUUUUGUGAUUCACCUCUACAGUAACAUUUUCAUUUACAUAAUCUUCAUGCCAAUAGAAGUAUAAUAAUUUUCCUUCCACAUACAUGGUCACAAGCUUCAGUUUCAGAUCUUCUUUCCUUGUCUUAAUCUAUUUUAUAACAGAUGGUCAAUAUAUUUCUUGACCAUCUCCCCUCUUACUCUACCUCUGGACUAGUUAUUUGACUAUGGACGAAUCUGUUUAAGAAAUGGUGCUGUCCAGUGAAGAGGUGGCUGUGUAAUAUGAAAUAAAUGUGACUUAAAUGCUUUCA